Molecule: unclassified non-coding RNA, 323 nt
Filed under: soil metagenome
Description: partial contains 5.8S ribosomal RNA, internal transcribed spacer 2, and large subunit ribosomal RNA
Rfam family: 5.8S ribosomal RNA (bases 1-120)
Source: RNAcentral
GAUGAAGAACGUAGCGAAAUGCGAUAAGUAGUGUGAAUUGCAGAAUUCAGUGAAUCAUCGAAUCUUUGAACGCACAUUGCGCCCCUUGGUAUUCCAUGGGGCAUGCCUGUUCGAGCGUCAUUUGUACCUUCAAGCUUUGCUUGGUGUUGGGUGUUUGUCCCGAGGGACUCGCCUUAAAGUAAUUGGCAGCCAGUGUUUGGUUUUGAAGCGCAGCACAAGUCGCGAUUCAAGGCUACACGCCCGCUUCCACAAGCCUUUUUUCACUUUUGACCUCGGAUCAGGUAGGGAUACCCGCUGAACUUAAGCAUAUCAUAAGCGGAGGA